This 9922-nucleotide long non-coding RNA is filed under the name Zea mays. RNAcentral's name for it is "long non-coding RNA (ZMAY_LNC003321)". Lineage: Eukaryota; Viridiplantae; Streptophyta; Magnoliopsida; Poales; Poaceae. The record is from RNAcentral.
CCCAGGGUACAGCAAGGGGAAAGGAGGUAGGGGAAGCUGACAUGUUGUAACACUCCAAGGUUCCACAAACAACCCGGAAUGCUACUGUACUACACUUCCGACGUCCAUAUAUAAAAUUUCGGCAGCAUCCCCUUUGCAAGAUUGCAUAAAAGAGGGAGCAACAGAGUAUAAACAUAUAUCAUGACUAAAACAUACUAAGUAUUAUUACUCGGCAAGCAAGGAAAGAUAAACAUACGACCUGAACUGAAUUAACCAGUGCGCACGACCAUAUAAAAAAAUAAACAAACUUCCUUUGACAAUAAGUUUCUAAUUAAAUCAUGGCUGCGCCUGGGCAGCGUUAUUGUGAGAGUGAAAGUGGACGUGCUGCUACUCCUCUCAUUCCCAACAUGUAUCAAGUACCUGCAUUGAGUAAUGCAAGAGUGAGAUGACACAUCUCAGCAAGUAAAAUAAUAUCAAACAGUUUAACCACAUAAGAACAUUGUUUUACCACCACUUGAUUCCACAACCUUCUUAUUACGAAGGUGCAGCACGUAUACAACGUACAACGCACCUAGUUACCACACCUCGCAGGUAGAAACCACAAUAGUAACAUAGUAAUGUCACACUUCAUAUAUUUCCUCAUGAGUGCAAAUGUCUGCAAAUGCAAGGAUGACUUCUGCCUUCAUACCUCUAAGGAUAUGAAGCCGCAUCGUACCCCUCCUCGGGCAACGUACGAUGCUAAAAAUGUACCGGUACGGUCGGACCAUAAGAUCACGACAUAACUUCAAAAUGCAAGAUGGAUGAUGCGAUGUGCAUGUCAUGCCUACAACACUUCAUAUAACAUGAUUCAAAAAGACACUUCAACUUCAUCCAGAUGGGAAUCAACCACAUAUAUCAUUACCAAAUUAUGAUCAUCCACAAUAUUAGACAAUUGAGAAUUUUUCUCGAAAGCGCAGGGGAACUGCGCCUUUAAUUAUAUUAAGAAGAGGAGAAAUAGUACAUAGUACAAUAGCUCUCCUUACGGAGGCCAGAAACAAACAUAAAGGAACGAAUCCGUUAGGAAUUCAGACUACCGACAAAGGGGCAGCCAAAAAGGAGAGACCCUUGGCCCCUGCUAGCACCCAAAGGUUUCUCUCCUCAUCAGCCUGCUGCAGGAUUCGAGAGAGGCUGGGGGUCUCUCCAUCAAACACACAUCUAUUGCGGAGGUUCCAUAUCUUCCAGGCACCCAACAUGAUAAGAGAAUUCAGCCCUUUCUUGACCAUUCCCUGCGCUGCCUCAGCAGCCCCUUUCCACCACUCUAAGAAGGAUGUAAGGCCAGGCUGUGGGGCCAGGGCAUGUAACCCAAAUUUCCUUAGGAGCAUAUACCAGAAAAUUCUUGUGAAGACGCAGGAGAUAAGAAGGUGGUUCAUGGUUUCAUCUUCCUGAUCACAAAGAAGACACCUUUGCGGGUGAUUCAGGCCCUUUUUGGCCAAACGAUCAGCAGUCCAGCAUCUGUUGUGUGCCACCAACCACAUGAAAAAACGGCACUUUGAGGGGGCCCAAGAUCUCCAGAUUCUUUUGUAGUGAUCAAAGGAGGCAGAUCCUAAAAACAGACCAUUAUAAGUUGCUUUCGUUGUGUAUUUACCAUCUGUAGCAAGGCUGAAAACAUGCUUAUCCCUUAUGUUUGGCUGUAACUCAAUCCCUGAAAGGGAUUCCCAAAGGUUUAGAUAAUCAACCAAGACUCUUACUGUAAGAGCCCCCUUAAUAUCUGAAAUCCAUUUCCUGUUUACAAGUGCUUCUUUCACCGUCCUUUUGUUAGCAAUUCUUCUUGGAAUUGACUUGUGCAGGCUAGGGGCAAUAUCAGCAAUUCGAGUGCCAUGCAGCCAUCUAUCAUUCCAGAACAAGGUGUUUGAACCAUCCCCAACCAUAGAAACAAGAGCCAUAGAGAAAAAAGCCCUAGCUUUGUUUGGGACCUGUAUUGGAAGACUUGCCCAAGGCCGCCCCAUAUCUGUUUUCUGCAACCACAGCCAUCUCAUGCGGAGAGCCCAACAAAGCUCAGGGAGACUAGAGAUUCCCAAGCCUCCCAGUUGAAGGGGACGACACACCUUUCCCCAGGCAACCAAACAGUGUCCUCCCUUUGCUUCCUUUGUGCCUCUCCAAAGAAUAGACAAUUGAGAAUUAAUACUCCCAAACAAAUAAACUUCAUCAUAGAAUUCAAUGAUUAACAUAAUUAAAACUUAUGCAUACUCAAUGACAGGGAAUAGGAUGCAAACCAAACGGUAGCAACCACCACUGUAUUUACUUGCCUUUACCGGAAGUUCGGGCAAAUCCCUAAGUACGAUCCGGAAGUCCACCACCUGUUUUUGACACCCAACUUAGUACAUCAAUUUCACAUAAUCAGGCCCAUAAGCGACGCCGCACCUACGCACAACUCAAACCCCGCCGCGGGUUACAUCUCUCCCUACACCCACCAAACUGCAGCGGCGCUGCUUAAUAAUUUCAUAACUUUAAAAUUAUGACAGCAGUGGUAACAAACAAAAACUCCAGAGGCAUCUACAUAAAAUUCCCCACAAGUUUUGUAUACAAUUUAUAAUUAAAUUCCAAUAUCUAAUUAGCCCAAAACAGUCCACAAGAUGAACCCUGUAAUCUGUUUUUCUUUGUCUUUUGGACAGCGACAUACCCAGAUUCAAACAGCGAUAUCUUUUAAAAUAUAAUUCCAAAUCAAGCGCAUAAGUACUCAUUGGAAAGAUAAGACAAAUCCCUACAUGAUUACCAUACUGGUUAACACUAAUUACCCACGAAAAAUUCCCAGAAACUGCUAAUACCACUGCUGUUCACCCACCUGAAAAAUCUGUUUUUUUUGGACAGCAACAUAACCGGAUUCAAACAACGAUAUCUCCUGAAUUAUAACUCCGAAUCGAGCGCAUAAGUACUUGUUGGAAAGAUAACAUAAAGCCCUACAUGAUUCUCAUACUGAUUAACACUAAUUACUUCCGAAAUAUCCCCAGAAACUGCUAAUACUGCUGCUGUUCAUCCCCCAGAAAAUCUGUUUUUUUGGACAGCCACAUACCCGGAUUCAAACGGUGAUAACAUUCAAUUUAUAACUCCAAAUUGAGCGCAUAAAUACUCGUUGGAAAGGUAAGGUAAAGUUCUACAUGAUCCCCAAACUGAUUUCCCUUAAUUCCUCACGAAAAAAACACAGAAACUGCUAGACUACUGCUGUUCACCCACCACCUAAAAUUCUGGACAGCCCCCUCUACCCAAUCGCAAACGCAACCUCUAAUCAAUUAAAUUGCAGCGCAAAUGAACAAGGGAUGAACACAAAAAUCACCUUGGAUUCUCCCCCUUUCCUUCCUCCCUUCUUCCCUCCACCAAAACGAUUGAAGACUCGCACCACGACGACGAUGAUCCGAGCGGCAAGGAUUGGCACCUUGGGAGGAGGGGAUUGAGGGGGGGGGGGCUAGGGUUUGGUGGCUGCAAGAAUGGAGAGAGGAGGAGAUGGGCAGGGGGCGGCGGCCAAGGGGGAGAGAAGUGGGGGGGGGGCGGCUGCACAUGGGGGGAGGGGGUUAGGAGGGAGGCGACUAGGGUUUGGGAGGGUUAAUGGGCCGAAACUCCAAUUGCGGCCCAACUAACCCACGCGACAGCUCCCGACCGCAACGUAAGCGUCAAAUCAAAUAAAUUCUACUGCCCUAGUUGUGAAUGUUUUCCACAAAAUCCCAAAUCCCCAAAACAACAACCGGAUGAGGAAAAAAACAAAAAGAACAACCCCCAACUUCUCUUCUUUGCAAACCGGGUAUCACACUCUACCCCUCUUAAAAAGAAUUCGACCUCGAAUUCUGACGCUUCUAUCAGAACAACAAAAGAAAUGUUAAUGAAUCAACAAAACUCACACAUAAAGAAAAGUUCGAGUACUUCUGCCGCAUCAGCUCCUCAAGCUCCUAGGAUUCUAAGAUACGCAGCAGACGACACUCUAGAGUCUGCUCUUGCUACACAGGAAUCGGCUCUAGCUCGAUUUGAUGGUCUGGAUCCCGAAAAUACUUCCUCAACAAAAAGACAUGGAAUACUUGGUGUACAUUGAUCACAGAUUCCGACAAUUACAUGUGCUAAGCCCAGCUGCCAACUCGGCCAAGAUAGCAGACGGUCCUAUAUACCUCGGACCAAGCUUUCCUGACACCAAAUCAAUCAUUGACAUAUGCAAGUACUUCAAGGAAUGUAUAUAUGAAUGCAAGGCAUAUAAUGUUCCUAUAGGCUAAACCAAACUUAGCCACACAAGAGCAACUUCAAGAGAGCAACUUAAUGCUUGCAUAUUUCUAGAUAGCAGCACAACGGUUAAUUGUUUUGCUCCUAACUCACAAAAAUAUGCAUCGAAAAUUAGUAAACUAGGACUUUAUGGAAAACUUAUAAAGUCCACUAUACCCUUGGUAUUAUCAUCACAACAAGAUUUGACACUUAGAAAGGUCAAACAGUGCUAAAUGUAAAUUCUGUCCAGACUUGGACAUAAUUCAACUACUCAAUUCAAAAAUCCAUAAUUGGAGUCUCAAUCAUCCAAUUCAGGUGCUCCCAGACUUUUUAGAAAGCUAGUAGAAUUGUCUAUAAUUCAUUUAUAAACAUAUCAAGUUAAUUCAAUGCAUAUUAAGGUCAAAAGACACGAGAAAGGCUCUGCUGUCCAAAUUUGGACAGAUUCAGAGAUCACACUUAAAACAGCUGUAACUUAACUUAUAGAUCUCCAAAAAAAAAAUUUAUCCAAAAUUUGUUGUAACAAUUAAGAAAAGUAAUACAACUUAUUUAUAAUUUAUAAAUAGUUAUUCGAAGUUUAAAUUGGGCAAACAAGGUCAGCUUCGAAAUCUGUAUAGAAUCUGCACAGAUUUCAAGACUGGACUUGAGAAAAUCAUAACUCCCAAACUACUAGACCUAUGGUCAUGAAAUUUUUACACAAGUAAGAUAAAAAAGUUGGCUACAACUUUUAUAUAUAACAUCUCUACAGAAAAGAUGGUUUACUUCACUGAACUAGCUGCAUAACUAAAAUUGGUCAUGCAGUCCCAAUAACAAGCAAUAGAUUUUAUCAGGUUCAUUACUCUUCUAAGAUUAAGCGUUCAUUGAAAGACUAAUAACUUUAGGUUCUUUAUUACGAGACACCUAGAACAAAUAUAAGUAUAGAAGCAAUAUGAUAACCUUUUAAAUCAUUUAAGCCUAAUCUCACAUCAUGCAAACAAGAAUCAAUUUAAGCAUGUUAUGUCUGCCCACAUAUUCAUCCAAGCACAUUCUAUACAUGAUAUCAUAACUCCCUGCAGCUAACAAAAUUUUGCAAAUAUAAACUCACUGAAAAGAUUAUAACAUUCCCUAGAACUUUUAUUAUAGCGAGUGUCUCGGAAUUGGUUUCCAAACCGAUAAAACAAUGCAACUCUUUUGUUUCAAAACUGAUAAGAUUGAAACAAUGGACAACUAAAAUUCAAAAACCUAUAACUCCUGCUAUACUCAACUUAAACUACAACGAACACGCGUUGGAAAAGUUUUGAAAAUUGUCCACGACUUUUGCAAUAAAGUUGCGCCCAAAUUUAUCCUUAUAGCCCACAACUCUGCAUGACCUACAGCUAAACUCAGCCUGAGAUACUGCACAUUAGAGAUUCGACUUAUAUCCAGGCAACCACCUCUCCAAAUCUAUUUAACAGACAGUUACAAGUAAAUACCCAUUAAAAAGGUACUGAAAAUACCUACAAGUUUUGCUUAAAGAGAAUUCGCAAAUUUGUGCUCUGCAACUAUCAAAACGCGGUCGAUUUAUUGGUGAUUAUAACGACGCCUAAAGUUCAGACACAACAGUGCAACAACUUCAGAGCAACCUAACUCCAAUUAUAUGCAAUGAGAAUUAGAAACCCAUACUCUUUGAAAAGAUCAUGAAAUUACUAAAACUUUCAUAAUCCACAAAGACCAAAUUAUACCGUCUUCAAUGUCUACUCUUCCGUGCAAAAUUAAAGACUCACUCUUCUAGAGACACCAACAAAGAUGUUUUAAGAAACCCAUAUCUCUCAAAUGUUUAGACCAAACAUGGUGAUUAAGCAUCCUAUGGAAAGAUGCAGAAACAUACUACAAAACAUUCUAGAUAAGUGAAGCCUGAUUCAGCCUCCAACUAAUUUAAAAUGCCUCCCGAAACCAAACAACAUAUUAUCAACAAUAAUAAAAAAACAAUAUAAAAUGAAACCCAAGUCAUUGGCAGGUGCCAUCAACACUAGGAUUUUCCACUACCAAACUGGGAUGCAACUCCACAAAGUCUUUAAAUAACACUCUACCAAAUAGGUUAGAACACUAAGCACAACAAUCAAUGAAUUCAACAACCUCGUUUGUUAAUGCCACUAAGGUCAAACAUCCAUGUACCGACAAUGUAUGAAACACCUGACAUACCCGUCUCUAGCUCUAUAAAACAUGGUUGUUAUUACACUAGAAUCCAACUACUAGAAAUCUCCAAAACUAUUCUGUUGACGUGAAGCAAAUGGUGCUCAUGUCAUAUAACAUCUUUUCCCCCUCUCAAAAGAGAUAAAAUUUGCAAUACUCAUAAAGCAAUGGAGGGAUAACAACAAGAAAAAACUAAUGUACUUCUUGACACAGACUCAUGCAAAAGCUUCAUAAAUAUUACUUUCAACACUAAAAUAAUAACACGAUAAUAUGCUCAACAGGAGUAAUUGGACUUCAAUAAGAUAAUCCACCUAACCCAACUACUUUGAUUAACCUCACAUACAACAAUUUGUACCUAGUGAUGUCAUAGGAUGAAUUCAAAGUAGUAGACAUACAUGAUCUAUCAAACCAUCAUUCAUAUAAUAAAAAUCUCCAUCUAAUGCAACAACCACAUCAUUAUAGAGAUAGAUGACUAACAAACAUAAGCAACUUCCAGUUAAACAUUGACUUUGUUUAAGAUAAAGCGGUCCAAAUAAUAAUUCCACAAGCAUGCAUAGAGAACUGAUCAUAUAAAAAAAACUACCAUGUAUCAUCAGCGAUUAAAAACAAUAUAAAACGGGUUGUCCAUAUCGUCCACAUGACUAGCCUCCAACAAAUAAAAAUUAUGCAUAACCUUUUUGGCUAUAGAAACAAACCAUAAAAGGAAAAUAUGCAUGCCUCUUCAACUAUAAUAUAGACAUAAAAUCCACUUGAAAUCACCCUAUUUAUUAUUAAAGAUAAGGUUGCACACAAUAAGAAAACCUAUCAUGUAAACAUGGUUGGACUUAUCUACCCACGUCAUCUUGCAAAUUCACUUGAGUUCUUCUAGUCUCAAGAUUUCAUAGACAGUACAACAUUGCCUUUGCUCUAUGGAGACAAACCUAUUGUACUCUAAGAUCAAGUUGGCAAGUAGCCACACUAGCCAAAAAAAAGGUGAGGUGUAAAGCACUGCACCCAUGGAAAUAUUACAUUGAUAAGUUGGGUUGUAACCCAACAGUCAAUCAAACUCAACAACACCAUAAAACUUCAUUGUAUAGUGUUUUCACGCUACACCAAGUCGGAUUAGAUCCUCUAUACACAAGCUCAAUAAACAAUCGGUCCUGCAAGUACUAGAACCCAAGAAUCCUUUUGGGAAAAAACAUCCACAGUCAAGCAUAUAGAAAUAUAUGAUGGUAAUAGCUCAGAGAUUAGUAAACAUUGCAUCCCAAAAAACAUCAUGACGAUAUGUAUAUAAAACAAGUACAUUAGUAGCUUCACUCGCAUAAUAAUUUCAAUAACAACCACAUCAAGAAACCAAUAUUAAAUAGAAGUAACAUUUCAUAUCAAGCAUUACGUCGUUAACGACAUACCUCAUCAAACCAUAAAGGGGUUUGGAGUAAGGAAAUUCUAGUCAUCUAUACAAUAAAAUACUAAUAUGAAAGAUAUAUGAACCCAUACCCUUCCUAUAUGUGCAAGUGUGUCAAAUUUAUCUUCAAAUUGCGUAGAAUCUAAAGCCUAUCCUCUGAUACCAACUGUAACACUCCAAGGUUCCACAAACAACCCGGAAUGCUACUGUACUACACUUCCGACGUCCAUAUAUAAAAUUUCGGCAGCAUCCCCUUUGCAAGAUUGCAUAAAAGAGGGAGCAACAGAGUAUAAACAUAUAUCAUGACUAAAACAUACUAAGUAUUAUUACUCGGCCAGCAAGGAAAGAUAAACAUACGACCUGAACUGAAUUAACCAGUGCGCACGACCAUAUAAAAAAAUAAACAAACUUCCUUUGACAAUAAGUUUCUAAUUAAAUCAUGGCUGCGCCUGGGCAGCGUUAUUGUGAGAGUGAAAGUGGACGUGCUGCUACUCCCCUCAUUCCCAACAUGUAUCAAGUACCUGCAUUGAGUAAUGCAAGAGUGAGAUGACACAUCUCAGCAAGUAAAAUAAUAUCAAACAGUUUAACCACAUAAGAACAUUGUUUUACCACCACUUGAUUCCACAUCCUUCUUAUUACGAAGGUGCAGCACGUAUACAACGUACAACACACCUAGUUACCACACCUCGCAGGUAGAAACCACAAUAGUAACAUAGUAAUGUCACACUUCAUAUAUUUCCUCAUGAGUGCAAAUGUCUGCAAAUGCAAGGAUGACUUCUGUCUUCAUACCUCUAAGGAUAUGAAGCCGCAUCGUACCCCUCCUCGGGCAACGUACGAUGCUAAAAAUGUACCGGUACGGUCGGACCAUAAGAUCACGACAUAACUUCAAAAUGCAAGAUGGAUGAUGCGAUGUGCAUGUCAUGCCUACAACACUUCAUAUAACAUGAUUCAAAAAGACACUUCAACUUCAUCCAGAUGGGAAUCAACCACAUAUAUCAUUACCAAAUUAUGAUCAUCCACAAUAUUAGACAAUUGAGAAUUAAUACUCCCAAACAAAUAAACUUCAUCAUAGAAUUCAAUGAUUAACAUAAUUAAAACUUAUGCAUACUCAAUGACAGGGAAUAGGAUGCAAACCAAACGGUAGCAACCACCACUGUAUUUACUUGCCUUUACCGGAAGUUCGGGCAAAUCCCUAAGUACGAUCCGGAAGUCCACCACCUGUUUUUGACACCCAACUUAGUACACCAAUUUCACAUAAUCAGGCCCAUAAGCGACGCCGCACCUACGCACAACUCAAACCCCGCCGCGGGUUACAUCUCUCCCUACACCCACCAAACUGCAGCGGCGCUGCUUAAUAAUUUCAUAACUUUAAAAUUAUGACAGCAGUGGUAACAAACAAAAACUCCAGAGGCAUCUACAUAAAAUUCCCCACAAGUUUUGUAUACAAUUUAUAAUUAAAUUCCAAUAUAUAAUUAGCCCAAAACAGUCCACAAGAUGAACCCUGUAAUCUGUUUUUCUUUGUCUUUUGGACAGCGACAUACCCAGAUUCAAACAGCGAUAUCUUUUAAAAUAUAAUUCCAAAUCAAGUGCAUAAGUACUAAUUGGAAAGAUAAGACAAAUCCCUACAUGAUUACCAUACUGGUUAACACUAAUUACUCACGAAAAAUUCCCAGAAACUGCUAAUACCACUGCUGUUCACCCACCUGAAAAAUCUGUUUUUUUGGACAGCAACAUAACCGGAUUCAAACGAUGAUAACUUUCAAUUUAUAACUCCAAAUUGAGCGAAUAAAUACUCGUUGGAAAGGUAAGGUAAAGUUCUACAUGAUCCCCAAACUUAUUUCCCUUAAUUCCUCACGAAAAAACACAGAAACUGCUAGACUACUGCUGUUCACCCACCAUCUAAAAUUCUGGACAGCCCCCUCUACCCAAUCGCAAACGCAACCUCUAAUCAAUUAAAUUGCAGCGCAAAUGAACAAGGGAUGAACACAAAAAUCACCUUAGAUUCUCCCCCUUUCCUUCCUCCCUUCUUCCCUCCACCAAAACGAUUGAAGACUCGCACCACGACGACGAUGAUCCGAGCGGCAAGGAUUGGCACCUUGGGAGGAGGGGAUUGAGGGGGGGGGGCGGCUAGGGUUUGGUGGCUGCAAGAAUGGAGAGAGGAGGAGAUGGGCAGGGGGGCGGCAGCCAAGGGGG